UUAACUAUUAUAUAGUACUCAGACGACACUAAAAUUCAGGGUUUGAGGGUCCUCUGGCGGGCGCUUACCAACCGGAGCCGGUAGCCUAGCAGGAGCCGGGCGGCCCGCCAAAGCAACAAAGUAGUGACAACACAGGGUGGGAGAUCUACCCAUAAGGGCAUGAACUCUGUAAUGAUCCCUCCGCAGGUUCACCUACGGAGA
Molecule: unclassified non-coding RNA, 201 nt
Filed under: uncultured fungus
Lineage: Eukaryota; Fungi
Description: sequence contains ITS1
Source: RNAcentral